UUCUUCUAUGCAAAGACCUGUUCUGCUUUUUUGAUUCACAAACCACAUUACCCGCUUUCCUCACAAAGUGGGUCACUUCUGCCUUUCUUCUGCGCGCUACAGAGAACACCCCUCACUUUUUUUCUAUACGUUAGUCCCUCUCCCCUACCGCUUCACAUCUUCACCGCCGAGGUUGGUUUCUGUAUUUUUUUUUCCGUGUCCAGUUCCAUCGGAUCACAUGGCAUCUACUGCAUCUACCUCUGAUAGUCAGUCACACAUUGAGGUUUCAAAUGCUUUUGAAGAAAUAGCACCACCGUCUGCAUCUACUUCCGCUACAUUUUCAACACCAUUACAAGAGAUGCCGUGGGAUAUAUUUAUUAACCAUCGUGGACCAGAUGUUAAAGACACGCUGGCCAGAGCUAUCUACAACGCCCUUCACGCCAUGGGUCUCAGAGUUUUUCUUGAUUCCGAGGAUCUUCACUUGGGAGACUUCUUCCCCGCAGCACUGGAAGAAGCAAUGCGCAGUGCUUCCAUUCAUAUAGCAAUCUUCUCUCCCGGAUAUGCACAAUCGUCAUGGUGCCUUGCUGAGCUAUCUUUUAUGCUGAAAUCUGGCGCACCUAUUAUUCCUGUCUUCUUCCAUGUUCAACCUACCGAUCUACGAUGGGUGGCUCAAGGAAAAGGAAAGUAUGUGAAUGCUUUCUUGGAUUAUGCCAAAAAGGGUAGAUACAGUUUAGAAAAGGUCCAGGAGUGGAAGACGGCACUCUACAAUGCGUCAUUCUAUAAGGGGGAAAUCAUCAGUAACAAAGAUGAGGAGCAAAGGGUGUUGAAGAAUAUUGUAAAUCGUGCAUCGAAAGUAAUGAAAAUAGUACCAUUAGAGGUAGCAAAAUAUGCUGUGGGUCUUGAAGAAGUUGUAGCAGAUUUUGAUCUGACUCUUCGCGAAUCCGCAAAAGCUCAUUCUAAUGUCCAAAUUGUGGGAAUUUGGGGAAUGAGUGGAUCCGGAAAAACUACUCUUGCAAAAGAGCUAUACAAUCAGAAAUGUUCAUCUGUAAGAAAAUCUAGUUUUCUGUUUGAUGUUAGAGAUGCUGCAAUUAAAAACAAGUUGCAUAAGAAACAGAUGAAACUUCUUCAAGACCUUGGUUUUCAAGAUAAAUCAUUUGGUAGUAUAGAGCAAGGUAAAAUGAUUCUCUCUAACUAUCUGAAAGAUGUUCGUGUACUCAUCAUUUUGGAUGAUAUAAGUCAUGUGGAUCAAUUAGAUACUUUACUCCCCGCAAAAGAUAUUCUUGGAUGGGGCAGUUUGAUCAUUGUUACAACACAGGAAAGGGAAGUCCUCAAAUGUUGGGGCAUCUCUUGCAUUUAUAAAAUGAAAACAAUGAAUCCAUUCCAUGCUAAGCAACUUUUUUGUUGGCAUGCAUUCUUUCAAGCCUCUGCACUGCCGGGAUUCGAGGAACUUGUUGACAUGUUUGUAAGUGUUUGUGAUGGAUUACCUUUAUCUUUAAAGGUAAUUGGAAGUCAGCUUGAUGGUUGUUAUACCAAGGAUUACUGGGAUGGUCUAUUGAAAAAGAUUUCUAGAAUAUUGCCCACUGAUAUCAGGAAUAGGCUGAGGGUAAGCUAUGAUGCUUUAGAUGAAGAAGAGAAGCAGACCUUCUUAGAUGUAGCUUGCUUCUUUAUAGGCCAAGAUAAGAUGACUGCCAUUGCAGUAUGGGACGGAUCAGGGUUGAGUGGUCUGUACAGCUGGGAGAGGCUGGUAAAUAAAUGCCUAGUUGACCUAGACGACAACAAUGGCAUACGAAUGAAUGACCAACUAAGGGAUUUAGCAAGGGAAAUUGCAAAAAGUCAACCGCCCUACCGUGUAUGGUCACCAGAUCAGAUUACGGGCAUUCAGAAACAUGCAGAGGUUAGAGGAAUGAUACUGAAUGAAGCGACAAGUGGCAUGACACACAAAUUUCCUCCAGGGCUUCAUGGAUUAAAAGUUUUUGUGGCAGGAAAAAAUUAUGGGAGUAAUUUACAUAUUGUCAAAUUAUCAAGAGAGUUGGCAUGGCUUAGCUGUAGUGGAAUUACAAAUAAAAAUCUUCCAUCAUGGCUACCAUUAAAAAAUUUAAGAGUUUUAGAACUUUAUAACUGCCAGAACAUAGUAGGCUUGUGGAAGGAUGGGGCAGAAGUUCCGUUGCAAUUACGAGUGUUGAUGAUUGUGGGUUGCUGUAAUUUGGCAAAAAUCCCAAAGUCUAUAGGAUAUCUUGAGAAUUUGAAAGAGAUUACCUUGUUUGAUUGCAAAUUGGAGAGUCUGCCAAAUCAAUUUUGUCGCCUUCAAUCACUGGAGCACCUGCAGCUAAUAAGUUGUAAAAUGCUAUCAUCACUACCUAGCCGUUUUGGUCAUCUGACAAACCUACGGCAUUUAGAUUUGAGCUUUUCCUAUCAAUCGGAAACGUUGCCCGAUUCUUUUAAGCAGCUGAAGCUUCUGCAGUAUCUCAAUUUAAUGGAGUGUAAGAUGCUCACCUUAAAGUCAGACAUACUGGAAAACAUGACAAAGCUUGAGUAUUUGAAUCUUAAUAGGUGUAUACAGUUGGAAGAGUUGCCUUGUCACAUCACAAAUCAGGCUUCCUUGAAUUACCUUUAUUUAUUGGGUACAUGGAUAUCGAAGCUCCCAAACAACAUCGGUCAACUCAGUAGGUUAAAAGUGUUGGAAAUAUUUCCAGAUACAAGGGAUAUUGAAAAGCAAUCUUUACCGGACUCUCUAGGGAGCCUCAAUCUUUUAGAGAAAUUGCGUUUAGCAAAUUUAGAAGUGGAAUCUUUACCAAAAUCAUUGAACCAGCUGUUCAAUCUUCAGAACCUGCAGAUAAUCGAUUGCCCGAUCAGCGAGUUGGAUUUGGGAAGGGGUCCAUCUCCUUCAUCUUUGUGCAACCUCAAGACAUUAGAUGUAUCGUUCACAAAGUUGUCAAAGAUUUCAAUUUCUGAAGACUGCUGCCCCGGCCUUAAACUUCUUUCACUCUGGUCUAUUGAUUAUUUAACGGAGGUCGAAGAGCUACCAACAGCACUGGAGGAUCUGUAUGUGGGGAGGUGCAGAUUGCUUAGAAGCAUCAGUGGUAAUGGUGACCUAGUAAACCUUCAUGAGCUGAGGAUAGAAAAUUGUCCAAGUUUGAACGCGCUUCCAAGUUUUCACAAAUUAGCUUCUCUGGAAAUAUUUGAUCUGAUAGGUGGCAACGAAGUUGAUAGGAUACAAGGUUUAGAACACUGCACAUCUUUGGGGAAGCUAAAUUGCACAUGUUUGGAGCUGCUCCAUAUGGAAAGUUUGGAGCAUCAGCAAGGAUUGAGGAGCCUGGAACUCGUAACAAAGAAGAGAUUAGCAAUUGAGCCUUGCAUUCAAACGAUUCAGAGAUGGCCAGAUCAAAUAAUAAUAUGUACGAAAGCGGUACCUGAUGCAGGAUCACUUUUGACUAAUUCAGUCUUUCCUAAUGUCUCUUACCUCCGCUCCUUUGCUAACAAGAAAAUCAGGCACAUGUCUAUCGAUCCUCCACUCGUAAGGUUGUCCCAAAAGCAUUCCUCCAACGCCAAUGCUUUUAUGCUAUGUAUGCUUAUAAAUUGUGUCUCUACUCCUAUGCCGUUGCAUAUUUUUUUGGGGGGUGACUUGACGAUUUAUUCAUUUUUAGAUAUCUUCCCUCGAACAUUUUCAACGGAGCUGAGUGAGGGUAAAUGGAUAUGGAUGGGUGUCUUCACUCAGCGUUCUAGAUGCCUCACUGAACAGAAUUUGUUCAUAUCAAAUUUCUUUAGUGAAUGGCAAUGGUUCGAUUUGAAAAUGCGGAGGUUGCCGGGGUCCUACAAUGAUAAUAAUGAAAUAGAGAAAGGAUUUAUUGUGAGGGGCGAAGAACGUAUUGUCAUUGAGGCUUUCCAUCGUUCAUUGGCACUUCUAGGUGAAUAAGUGGUGGAAGCUUCCCACCUAGUAAGCGAAAAAGAUAUCUACCGUUGAUUGUCACUUCACAGAAGUUGAUUCUGCUGCUAUGGAGUGAUAGCAUUAUAUGUUUGCCUCCUCCACGUCAACAGCAGAAAAAUAGCUAGGAUCAUUAGAGUUGGCCUGGGCCAUACUCCCUCAUGACCCCAAGUUUGUGAGAUUGUGGAAGAGCACCACCACCAAGAAAAGGAGGGUUUAAAGAUUCAUUCUGCUACAGAAAAGCAGAAUUCAAAAAGAAGAUCACAACAUAGAUGAUAGAAGUUGCAGUUCUAGAUGAAGAAGGGUGAACUAGAGCAAAGUUGAAGCUAACUAUAGAAGUUUCCAAUCAAAGAAGAGAUCGCAGGAGAUCACCACCAAGAUCACAUAAGAUCGUUGUAGAAAAGAAAGCAGUCAUUGCUGAAAGGAGAAGCCAGAUAGCAAUCAACUUUUUAAGCCAAGAGGAUGCAGAAAGGACAAAAAGGAAGUUUGAAUAGAUCGCAGAAAGAUUAAAGAAGAGAGCAGUUCUGAAGAACUUGUUAGCAAAGAGCAUUCUGUUUCUAUAUAAAAGCAAUAUUUGAGGUCAGUAGAGCCCAUUAAUAGUAAGAUUUCCGAGCAUCCACAGUGUGACUCUAAGGGAGGUGUUGAUAAAACAAAUGAAUAACACUUGAACCAACGAUGGACUAGUUACCAAGAGGCCUAGAGCUCACGGUUAAAGCAUCCCAACAACAUCAUGGGAUUUCCUAAGUUCGAUCUCUAAAUUUAGAAGAUUUUCAAUGCAACAACAUGAGUGAAAGAGACAUUGAAGUCAUCAACAAAGAAAUUAGAGAACAAAGGAAUUAGAGAAUGUGGUAUCAUUUGUGGUAGUUUUUAUUAAAGGGGAGUGUUGGAGAUUGUAAUCCCAACUACAGUUAGCUCCACUUGCCACCGUCAUAGUCAAUUAUUUUAUUCUCCCUCUCCGGGCUUAGCUUCUCCAUGUAUGCAAUCAGUUAGAACUACCCGUGACAACUGCUGUUCACCCUCGUCUCCUCUGUACUUACUGUUAGCAUUAAAUAAACUAGUGCAAUUGAUUAUCUAUUUAUUGUGCAUGCAUGUAACAACUGUUAAAACUGCUAGUUUUAUA
Cryptomeria japonica (Japanese cedar) is the source of this 5021-nucleotide RNA transcript. It is a transcript of the gene named disease resistance protein RPV1, with no coding region annotated. The transcript has 6 exons. The record is from RefSeq and is a predicted model, not a curated record. Lineage: Eukaryota; Viridiplantae; Streptophyta; Pinopsida; Cupressales; Cupressaceae.